GACGAACGCUGGCGGCGUGCUUAACACAUGCAAGUCGAACGAAGAGCGAUGGAAGCUUGCUUCUAUCAAUCUUAGUGGCGAACGGGUGAGUAACGCGUAAUCAACCUGCCCUUCAGAGGGGGACAACAGUUGGAAACGACUGCUAAUACCGCAUACGAUCUAAUCUCGGCAUCGAGGAUAGAUGAAAGGUGGCCUCUACAUGUAAGCUAUCACUGAAGGUGGGGAUUGCGUCGGAUUAGCUAGUUGGAGGGGUAACGGCCCACCAAGGCGAUGAUCAGGAGCCGGUCGGGGAGGAUGAACGGCCACAUUGGGACUGAGACACGGCCCAGACUCCUACGGGAGGCAGCAGUGGGGAAUCUUCCGCAAUGGACGAAAGUCUGACGGAGCAACGCCGCGUGAGGGAUGACGGCCUUCGGGUUGUAAAGCUCUGUUAAUCGGGACGAAAGGCCUUCUUGCGAAUAGUGAGAAGGAUUGACGGUACCGGAAGAGAAAGCCACGGCUAACUACGUG
Molecule: ribosomal RNA, 510 nt
Filed under: uncultured bacterium
Lineage: Bacteria
Description: partial 16S ribosomal RNA
Rfam family: Bacterial small subunit ribosomal RNA
Source: RNAcentral